This 362-nucleotide long non-coding RNA is filed under the name Pan troglodytes (chimpanzee). RNAcentral describes it as "lincRNA". Lineage: Eukaryota; Metazoa; Chordata; Mammalia; Primates; Hominidae. The record is from RNAcentral.
GGCCAGCAUCCGAGAGCCCGGACUGGAGAUUUCUGAGAGAGCAGACACCAUCUUAUUUCUGUUGAAUUGUAUUUAGUAACUCAAAAGGCAUAUACCAAGCUGUCAGAAGCAGCUUCAUUUAAAAGAAAUAAAAUUUCUAGUCCUGCCUGAAGUUUAAGCUAGCCCAUGACUACUCAAGUGCAACUGUAUUUCCCAGAAUUAAAGCAGCAGCCUUGGAUCCAGAGAUGGACGCCAAUUGAUGAAGACGGCAGAACUGACUGGCUAGUCUGGGUUCCCUGGAGCAGAGCUGUCUCUCCACCCUAGGUUAUCCACUUACUUUUGUACUGUUAUGUGAGAGAGAAAUAAACUUCUAUCUUCUUUAA